UGGUCAAGUUAUUAAGGGUGCAGGGCGGAUGCCUUGGCACUAGGAGCCGAUGAAGGACGUGAUAAGCUGCGAUAAGCUUCGGGGAGUUGCACGUAAACUUUGAUCCGAAGAUUUCCGAAUGAGGAAACUCACUUAGAGUAAUGUCUAAGUAUCAUUAAGUGAAUACAUAGCUUAAUGAGGGGAACUCAGGGAACUGAAACAUCUAAGUACCUGAAGGAAGAGAAAGAAAUUCGAUUCCGUAAGUAGCGGCGAGCGAACGCGGAUUAGCCCAAACCAAUAAAGUUUUCUUUAUUGGGGUUGCGGACAUAUCAUA
RNAcentral lists this ribosomal RNA (313 nucleotides) under Clostridioides difficile. RNAcentral's name for it is "bacterial LSU rRNA". It matches the Rfam family "Bacterial large subunit ribosomal RNA", at positions 1 to 313 of the family's 2925-position model. Lineage: Bacteria; Bacillati; Bacillota; Clostridia; Peptostreptococcales; Peptostreptococcaceae. The record is from RNAcentral.